CCUACGGGUGGCAGCAGUGGGGAAUAUUGGACAAUGGGCGAAAGCCUGAUCCAGCCAUGCCGCGUGUGUGAAGAAGGCCUUCGGGUUGUAAAGCACUUUCAGUGGGGAAGAAAGCCUUGGGGCUAAUACCCUCGAGGAAGGACAUCACCCACAGAAGAAGCACCGGCUAACUCCGUGCCAGCAGCCGCGGUAAUACGGAGGGUGCGAGCGUUAAUCGGAAUUACUGGGCGUAAAGCGCGCGUAGGCGGUCUGAUAAGCCGGUUGUGAAAGCCCCGGGCUCAACCUGGGAACGGCAUCCGGAACUGUCAGGCUAGAGUGCAGGCGAGGAAGGUAGAAUUCCCGGUGUAGCGGUGAAAUGCGUAGAGAUCGGGAGGAAUACCAGUGGCGAAGGCGGCCUUCUGGACUGACACUGACGCUGAGGUGCGAAAGCGUGGGUAGCAAACAGGAUUAGAUACCCGAGUAGUC
RNAcentral lists this ribosomal RNA (465 nucleotides) under Vreelandella stevensii. Its description in RNAcentral is "partial 16S ribosomal RNA". It matches the Rfam family "Bacterial small subunit ribosomal RNA", at positions 338 to 795 of the family's 1533-position model. Lineage: Bacteria; Pseudomonadati; Pseudomonadota; Gammaproteobacteria; Oceanospirillales; Halomonadaceae. The record is from RNAcentral.